Molecule: ribosomal RNA, 253 nt
Filed under: uncultured bacterium
Lineage: Bacteria
Also listed under: 1 other name
Description: partial 16S ribosomal RNA
Rfam family: Bacterial small subunit ribosomal RNA
Source: RNAcentral
UACGUAGGGGGCAAGCGUUGUCCGGAAUCAUUGGGCGUAAAGAGCGUGUAGGCGGCUUGGCAAGUCUCGCGUGAAAUCCUGCGGCUCAACCGCAGGCGGUCGCGGGAAACUGCCUCGCUAGAGUCCGGAAGAGGAGAGUGGAAUUCCUGGUGUAGCGGUGGAAUGCGCAGAUAUCAGGAAGAACACCCGUGGCGAAGGCGGCUCUCUGGGACGGUACUGACGCUGAGACGCGAAAGCGUGGGGAGCGAACAGG